RNAcentral lists this transfer RNA (69 nucleotides) under Caulophacus iocasicus. RNAcentral describes it as "tRNA-Asp". Lineage: Eukaryota; Metazoa; Porifera; Hexactinellida; Lyssacinosida; Rossellidae. The record is from RNAcentral.
AGAAUUAUAAAUUAAUUAAAAAGCUAAUUGUCAUCUAAGCUUAUAGAAGCUAAACUCUUCUUAAUUCUU